RNAcentral lists this ribosomal RNA (428 nucleotides) under uncultured bacterium. Its description in RNAcentral is "partial 16S ribosomal RNA". It matches the Rfam family "Bacterial small subunit ribosomal RNA", at positions 354 to 796 of the family's 1533-position model. The record is from RNAcentral.
GUAGGGAAUAUUGGACAAUGGGGGCAACCCUGAUCCAGCGACGCCGCGUGAGUGAUGAAGGCCUUCGGGUCGUAAAGCUCUGUUGCAGGGGAAGAACACAAUGACGGUACCCUGCUAGAAAGGAUCGGCUAACUUCGUGCCAGCAGCCGCGGUAAGACGAGGGAUCCUAGCGUUGUUCGGAAUUAUUGGGCGUAAAGUGGGUGCAGGUGGCUUGGUAAGUCAGAUGUGAAAGCCUGGGGCUUAACCCCAGAAGUGCAUUUGAUACUGCUGAGCUUGAGUGCUGGAGAGGCUAUUAGAAUUCCUGGUGUAGUGGUGAAAUACGUAGAUAUCAGGAGGAAUACCGGAGGCGAAGGCGGAUAGCUGACCAGACACUGACACUCAGACCCGAGAGCGUGGGGAUCAAACAGGAUUAGAAACCCCUGUAGUCC